AUAUCAGUAAGCGGAGGAAAAGAAACUAACAAGGAUUGCCCCAGUAGCGGCGAGUGAACAGGCAAAAGCUCAAAGUGGAAAUCCUGCGGCUUACGGUCGUCGGAAUUGUAAUCUAGAGAGUCGAUGCGAAGGCAUGGCACCACCUCGUGUGAGUCCCUUGGAACAGGACGCCAAAGAGGGUGACAGCCCCAUACACAACGAGGGCCGGCCGUAGCAGAAGGCUUUUAAGAGUCGGGUUGUUUGGGACUGCAGCCCUAAACGGGAGAUAAACUUCUUCUAAAGCUAAAUAUUUAUGGGAGACCGAUAGCGCACAAGUA
RNAcentral lists this ribosomal RNA (317 nucleotides) under uncultured eukaryote. Its description in RNAcentral is "partial large subunit ribosomal RNA". It matches the Rfam family "Eukaryotic large subunit ribosomal RNA", at positions 40 to 350 of the family's 3401-position model. The record is from RNAcentral.